Molecule: transfer RNA, 69 nt
Filed under: Marmota monax (woodchuck)
Lineage: Eukaryota; Metazoa; Chordata; Mammalia; Rodentia; Sciuridae
Description: tRNA.Ala
Source: RNAcentral
GGGCUGGGCUCAGUGGCAGAGCGCUUGCCUAGCAUGCCCGAGGUACUGGAUUCGAUCCUCAGCACCACA